RNAcentral lists this ribosomal RNA (378 nucleotides) under uncultured eukaryote. Its description in RNAcentral is "partial 18S ribosomal RNA". It matches the Rfam family "Eukaryotic small subunit ribosomal RNA", at positions 592 to 976 of the family's 1831-position model. The record is from RNAcentral.
CAAUAGCGUAUAUUUAAGUUGUUGCAGUUAAAAAGCUCGUAGUUGGAUUUCGGGUGGGACGCAGCGGUCUCGCAUUGCGUUUGUACUGCUGCAGCCCUCCUUCUUGCCGGGGGCGGCCUCUCGGACUUCACUGUCUGGGGGUCAGAAUCGGCGAUGUUACUUUGAGUAAAUUAGAGUGUUCAAAGCAAGCUUACGCUCUGAAUAUAAUAGCAUGGGAUAACACGACAGGACUCUGGCCUAUCGUGUUGGUCUAUAGGACCAGAGUAAUGAUUAAGGGGGACAGUCGGGGGCAUUCGUAUUCCGUUGUCAGAGGUGAAAUUCUUGGAUUUACGGAAGACGAACAUCUGCGAAAGCAUUUGCCAAGGAUGUUUUCAUUGA